UUGAGGAGGUGACGGGCGGUGUGUACGCUUUUUAGAGCUUUUUUCAUAUAAUUCUUCUUUAUCUUAUAUUACUAUCGAAUCCUUUUUCUUUUAAAUUUUCAUUUUAAUUUCCUCUAUUAUAAAGUAAGGUAGCUCAUCUAUUCCUAAUCUAUUGGCUGCACCUUGAUCUGACGUGAAGAAUGAUUUUCUUGAUGCUUACUUUCUUGUAGAGGUAAGCUGACGACGAUGGUAUACAAGCUGUUUUUUCUAAGAUUAGUAAGGUUUCUUGUGGAUUAUCAAUUUAAUGACAAGCUCCUCCGAAAAGGUCUAAAAAACCGCCAAGUCCUUUAAGUUUUAGCUGUUUGGCCGUACUUCUCUGGUGUUUUCUUUAUACUGAGAGGUAUAGUGGGGUAUCUAAUCCCAGA
This 404-nucleotide ribosomal RNA is filed under the name Deima validum. Its description in RNAcentral is "partial 12S ribosomal RNA". The record is from RNAcentral. Lineage: Eukaryota; Metazoa; Echinodermata; Holothuroidea; Elasipodida; Deimatidae.